CCGAGGCGACGUCGUAAAAUCAUGAAAACGGAUUUGAAGCACCGUGGCACAUAACCGAAGACUUUUAAUUUUCGGAUCGCAAAUCGGAGAUCGUUUGGGUGAUUGCGCGAGAGUUCGAGCCAAACCGGGUCGCGGGUGUCGCAGGCGGCCGAUUGCAAGUGACUACAAGCAAUCGGAGAGUAAGUUAAGGUGGGUUGUGCUUACCGAAGCGACUAGGUCGCCUUUUAUGUCUAAGAGAAAUGUAAAUUCAUAUUGAUGCAUAUAAUGGGAGAAUGCAUGCAGAGCUUCUAAAUGCUAGGCGGAGAUCAUGUUGAAUUGCCUAUGCUUAGACUACCUAAGAAGCCAUGAUGACAUUUAUAGUAAAGCUAUAUGUAUGCAUGUAAAUACAUGCUAAUUAAUGCAAUUGUGAGCACAUUGUAAAGAUAUGCAUGUGAAUGAAUCAAUUAAAUAAGUGACUAUGUUAAAUACAUGUAUGACGGACAUGAUGAGGAAAAUGCUAGAUACAUGCAUAUUAAAUGUUGUAAGAUCAUUGAGAAAGAUUAUGAUGUGGCAUCAAAUAAGCUGCUAGAUAAAAUGUGUGAUAGUUAAUGGAACUCGACACUGGACAUAUUAGGAUGCUCAAAAGUAGAUCGAGUGGCAUUACCUAGUUAUAAAAACAUAGGUUGCGACAUGAUAUGACAAUGAACCUUAUGUUAUUGACAUCAGUCGAAGUGGCAUGCUAACCUAGGUGUUAAAGAAUAUAGGUUAUGAGAUUGAACUAGAGUUAAGUAAACUAGGUUAUAUGAUCAGAGACGUUGAACUAGAGUCAGUGUGACUAGGGCCAAAGGACGUGGACCUAGACUAAGGGUCAAUGCUAUAGAGUUGUGAAACCAACCUUGAUUAUGAAAUGGAUUCCGGCAAUCCCGUGACAUGGUCCGCACAUGGACAUCGGUUAGAAUAUUUGUGGUUAAAAGAAAUCGCAAAGCGAAUUAGAUGGCAGGUAUGUGUUGGUUCUCAACUCGUGCCUGGCAGUAGAUUGCAACUGGGUAUGUGUGGUUCUUCUCGCUCCGGGAUGCCGAGAAAAGUUGCCUGGAGAUGGUAGGUGUGGUUUCUCUUGCCCAUCUAGUCUUAUCGGAUGAGCCGCUAGGUUGACUUGAACAUAUGUUGGUGUGGAGCGACAUGUGGUUGCUGCAAUGAUUAAGUUAUGACUUUGAACCAUUGUUGGUGAGGUGCGAUGAGUUCGCCGCCAGAUGGCUAAUGUCAAUAACUUGACUUGUUGUUGGGUGAAGCGAGUAUCUCGGCACCCAGAUGCGUUUAAGUCAGAUGCUGGCGGUAGCUGCGGACGGCAGCAGGCUGAGGGCAGCAGUGUGCCGCUGGCACUGAUCCGCGGUGAUUGACUGAGGCCGAGUCGUGUUUAGCUGAUUGCGUUAAUGGGAACCUCUAUAAGUAUGGGAUCGAGGCAAGAAUGAGUAAUAGAGACCUUGAAGCAAGUUGAACUUGAGUUGAGAACAUAAGGUUGAAUGGAAACCUUACAAUUGAAUGAAAUGCACCUAAGUGCCAAAGUAAAUGUAGAAUUAACAUAUCUACUAGUUGUUUAUGCAGUUGCAUAGUUGCAUAAUAUUCAUAUUGCAUUAGCGAGGCAAUGUAUGGUUUUAUUAAUUGCAUAGUCAAAUAUCUAUCUAUCUGUUUAUUAAACUAACCUGCAGUUGCCUCCUUGGACCUAUUGGUCGAACUCCUCCCUUGGGUGGCCGUACCCACUGGGAACCAUGGAGUUGGUUCUCACCCCACGUUGUUUUGGGGUGUUACAGGUUCGCACGUGAGCGGCGCGGCGGCGCGAGGCAAGGGCGUAGCUCCAUAGAUAGCGCCCUACCCCAGAGACCAGAAAUAGCGGUACCCC
RNAcentral lists this long non-coding RNA (1876 nucleotides) under Ananas comosus (pineapple). Its description in RNAcentral is "long non-coding RNA (ACOM_LNC016484)". The record is from RNAcentral. Lineage: Eukaryota; Viridiplantae; Streptophyta; Magnoliopsida; Poales; Bromeliaceae.